This is a long non-coding RNA of Rattus norvegicus (Norway rat), 1598 nucleotides long. RefSeq lists it as uncharacterized. The record is from RefSeq and is a predicted model, not a curated record. Lineage: Eukaryota; Metazoa; Chordata; Mammalia; Rodentia; Muridae.
UCUCUCUCUCUCUCUCUCUCUCUCUCUCUCUCUCACACACACACACACACACACACACACACACACACACACACACACACUAUGUGAACUCAGGAUUAAGAAAACGAAAACAAACCAACUAGUCCAGACAAGGCUGUAGAGGCCCAGCCGCAUGCAUCCAGGCAGAGUGAUGAAAUUGUGCUUGUGUCCCUGAGGUGCGGCUGAAGCAGCUGAAGCCUUAUCAACUCAGGUUACAUGUGGAUGUGACUCUGAACAGGAAAUUUAAUGAAAAGAGACUCCUUUGCAAUAGUAUUUGCAAUCAAUAGAAAAAUAGGUUUGGUCUCUUUGCUUUGUUUUUAAUUUUGAGGCACAGAAAUCCUCACCAAGAGUUGUUCUUCCUGCCUCAUUUAACUUCGAGUCCUAUUGAGCGGCUUGCCCUGCAGUGUGCAGGGUAAACGGCACUUUUACCGCCCACCGGAAAUUAAUGCCACUUGACUGACAGCAUCCCCGAUCUCUCUCGGAAAAGCGUGACCACAGCUCUGAGUUUCCUAAUUUGAUCAUAGACUCCUGGAGUGCCCUCGGCUGGGGACAAUCCUGGGCAGUCCCAGGCCCUGGUGGCCCGCUGGCCUUGUUUACAUUUCUAAGGUUCCAACAGGGAAUGCUGGCGGGACAGGCUUUCAGAUGACAAAGCAGAUCAACUCUGUGAAGCCUCCUAGGGAAGACAGGAUGUCCACCCUCCUAAUUCUUCCCGGCCCAAUUCCAGUCUUGCUUAGGUUUCCCUGGUACCUGUUUUUUGUGUUGCAGAAGUGAAGAGCCACCUGUGGGUGAAGCCCUGUGCAGCUUCAGAAGCCGACAGAAAAGCAGUAACAUUGUACUUCAUUGUUCAGAAAGAGGGCUUGGCAAUUAGAACAGGCAGAAAAGAAAUUAUGGAUCUAAGUUAUUAGGUCUGCACACGGAACAUGUCUUUAAAACCAACCUUAUUUUCCCGAGGGAAAAUUUUAAUACCCCCACCCUCCUCUCUGUCUCUGCCCCUGAUAGCACUCUGCUCUGCUUCCUACUACAAGCAGAUGCCAAAACAGGGACAUUGCUGGGAUGUGUCACAGAGUAACCGGCUGGGGCCUGAGCCAGACAGAGAGAUGCUGAGAAGCCAAAAAAACAAACAGUAGGAGAGAAAACAAUGAAGAGAGACCCGCCCAGCCGUCUUUCCAGGUACUCUGCCUCCACCUUUGAGAUGACCCCCAAAGAUCAUAAGAAGAAAGAGGAAAAAAAAGUCCAAUCUGUGUUGCCUAUAUACUCACUGGAGCAUGGUCAAACACCCAGAGGCCAGCCCCUUAUUAGAAAACUGAGUUCUUCCCCUUCCACAUCCUCACCAGAAGCCAGCAACUGUGGAGAGCUACACUUCAGCAUCCUUAUCACAAUUUUUAAGAGUUUUGGGGUCUGGAGAGAUGGCUCAGUGGUUAAGAUCACUGACUGUGCUUCCUAGAGGUCCUCAGUUCAAAUCCCAGCAAGCACAUGGUGGCUCACAACCAUCUGUAAUGAGAUCUGAUGCCCUCUUCUGGUGUGUCUGAAGACAGCUACAGUGUACUCAUAUAUAAUAAAUAAAUCUUAAAAAAAAAAAA